GGCCUACUGGCCCAAUGGCAAGGCGUCUGACUACGAAUCAGGAGAUUGCAGGUUCGAUCCCUGCGUAGGUCA
This 72-nucleotide transfer RNA is filed under the name Drechslerella stenobrocha 248. RNAcentral's name for it is "tRNA-Arg (ACG) (tRNA-Arg-ACG-1-1)". It matches the Rfam family "tRNA". From Rfam's summary of the family: Transfer RNA (tRNA) molecules are approximately 80 nucleotides in length. The record is from RNAcentral. Lineage: Eukaryota; Fungi; Ascomycota; Orbiliomycetes; Orbiliales; Orbiliaceae. RNAcentral also lists the same sequence under 1 other name.